GAUGAACGCUGGCGGCGUGCUUAACACAUGCAAGUCGAACGGAGUGGCGAACGGGUGAGUAACACGUGGGUGAUCUGCCCUGUACUUCGGGAUAAGCUUGGGAAACUGGGUCUAAUACCGGAUAGUAUGGGAUGAGCUCGCGGCCUAUCAGCUUGUUGGUGGGGUAAUGGCCUACCAAGGCGUCGACGGGUAGCCGGCCUGAGAGGGUGUACGGCCACAUUGGGACUGAGAUACGGCCCAGACUCCUACGGGAGGCAGCAGUGGGGAAUAUUGCACAAUGGGCGCAAGCCUGAUGCAGCGACGCCGCGUGGGGGAUGAAGGCCUUCGGGUUGUAAACUCCUUUCGCUAGGGACGCGGUACCUGGAGAAGAAGCACCGGCUAACUACGUGCCAGCAGCCGCGGUAAUUC
RNAcentral lists this ribosomal RNA (408 nucleotides) under uncultured bacterium. Its description in RNAcentral is "partial 16S ribosomal RNA". It matches the Rfam family "Bacterial small subunit ribosomal RNA", at positions 28 to 526 of the family's 1533-position model. The record is from RNAcentral.